RNAcentral lists this transfer RNA (71 nucleotides) under Musa acuminata AAA Group (dessert banana). RNAcentral's name for it is "tRNA-His". The stretch from base 1 to 44 matches the Rfam family "tRNA", at positions 28 to 71 of the family's 71-position model. From Rfam's summary of the family: Transfer RNA (tRNA) molecules are approximately 80 nucleotides in length. Their secondary structure includes four short double-helical elements and three loops (D, anti-codon, and T loops). Further hydrogen bonds mediate the characteristic L-shaped molecular structure. tRNAs have two regions of fundamental functional importance: the anti-codon, which is responsible for specific mRNA codon recognition, and the 3' end, to which the tRNAs corresponding amino acid is attached (by aminoacyl-tRNA synthetases). tRNAs cope with the degeneracy of the genetic code in two manners: having more than one tRNA (with a specific anti-codon) for a particular amino acid; and 'wobble' base-pairing, i.e. permitting non-standard base-pairing at the 3rd anti-codon position. The record is from RNAcentral. Lineage: Eukaryota; Viridiplantae; Streptophyta; Magnoliopsida; Zingiberales; Musaceae.
UCUUUGCCAAGGAGAAGAUGCGGGUUCGAUUCCCGCUAUCCGCCGCGGAUAUGGUCGAAUGGUAAAAUUUC